GACGAACGCUGGCGGCGUGCUUAACACAUGCAAGUCGAACGGUGAAGCUCCAGCUUGCUGGAGUGGAUCAGUGGCGAACGGGUGAGUAACACGUGAGCAACCUGCCCCUGACUCUGGAAUAAGCGCUGGAAACGGCGUCUAAUACUGGAUACGAGAAGGGUCCGCAUGGGCACUUUCUGGAAAGUUUUUCGGUUGGGGAUGGGCUCGCGGCCUAUCAGCUUGUUGGUGAGGUAAUGGCUCACCAAGGCGACGACGGGUAGCCGGCCUGAGAGGGCGACCGGCCACACUGGGCCUGAGACACGGCCCAGACUCCUACGGGAGGCAGCAGUGGGGAAUAUUGCACAAUGGGCGAAAGCCUGAUGCAGCGACGCCGCGUGAGGGAUGACGGCCUUCGGGUUGUAAACCUCUUUCAGCAGGGAAGAAGCGAAAGUGACGGUACCUGCAGAAGAAGCACCGGCUAACUACGUG
RNAcentral lists this ribosomal RNA (468 nucleotides) under uncultured bacterium. RNAcentral's name for it is "partial 16S ribosomal RNA". It matches the Rfam family "Bacterial small subunit ribosomal RNA", at positions 28 to 507 of the family's 1533-position model. The record is from RNAcentral.